RNAcentral lists this ribosomal RNA (530 nucleotides) under uncultured bacterium. RNAcentral's name for it is "bacterial SSU rRNA". It matches the Rfam family "Bacterial small subunit ribosomal RNA", at positions 28 to 545 of the family's 1533-position model. The record is from RNAcentral.
GAUGAACGCUGGCGGCGUGCUUAACACAUGCAAGUCGAACGGAGUUGUGAUGUGCGAGGGGGACAGCUUGCUGUAGCCCGAGCUUUUCAUGACUUAGUGGCGGACGGGUGAGUAACGCGUGGGUAACCUGCCGUAUACAGGGGGAUAACACUUAGAAAUAGGUGCUAAUACCGCAUAAGCGCACAGCUUUGCAUGAAGCGGUGUGAAAAGGAGCGAUCCGGUAUACGAUGGACCCGCGUCUGAUUAGCCAGUUGGCAGGGUAACGGCCUACCAAAGCGACGAUCAGUAGCCGGCCUGAGAGGGCGGACGGCCACAUUGGGACUGAGACACGGCCCAAACUCCUACGGGAGGCAGCAGUGGGGGAUAUUGCACAAUGGGGGGAACCCUGAUGCAGCGACGCCGCGUGAGUGAAGAAGUAUUUCGGUAUGUAAAGCUCUAUCAGCAGGGAAGAAGAUGACAGUACCUGAAUAAGAAGCCCCGGCUAACUACGUGCCAGCAGCCGCGGUAAUACGUAGGGGGCAAGCGUUAUC